AGAGUUUGAUCCUGGCUCAGGACGAACGCUGGCGGCGUGCCUAACACAUGCAAGUCGAGCGAUGAAGUUCCUUCGGGAACGGAUUAGCGGCGGACGGGUGAGUAACACGUGGGCAACCUGCCUUAUAGAGGGGAAUAGCCUUCCGAAAGGAAGAUUAAUACCGCAUAAGAUUGUAGCUUCGCAUGAAGCAGCAAUUAAAGGAGCAAUCCGCUAUAAGAUGGGCCCGCGGCGCAUUAGCUAGUUGGUGAGGUAACGGCUCACCAAGGCGACGAUGCGUAGCCGACCUGAGAGGGUGAUCGGCCACAUUGGGACUGAGACACGGCCCAGACUCCUACGGGAGGCAGCAGUGGGGAAUAUUGCACAAUGGGGGAAACCCUGAUGCAGCAACGCCGCGUGAGUGAUGACGGCCUUCGGGUUGUAAAGCUCUGUCUUUGGGGACGAUAAUGACGGUACCCAAGGAGGAAGCCACGGCUAACUACGU
Molecule: ribosomal RNA, 481 nt
Filed under: uncultured Clostridium sp.
Lineage: Bacteria; Bacillati; Bacillota; Clostridia; Eubacteriales; Clostridiaceae
Description: bacterial SSU rRNA
Rfam family: Bacterial small subunit ribosomal RNA
Source: RNAcentral